GGAGCUCUGGGGGAUUCCAGAAGCCUGCUCACCGUGCCCUGGCAACUUUGUCACUCUGUCUCCCAGGGGGCCGGGAACUCCUUGCCGCGGAGGGCUGAGGGGCAGGGAGCCCCAAGGUCGAGGAGGGCAGCCAGCAGCCCUCGGUGGGAGGGGACCUGGGGAGGCCUGGGCAGGAAGCCAGCCGUGGGGGACCCGGGGUUUUACCUGGGAACCUGGGCCAGGAUCGAAUGGAUACCUGUUUUCCAGGCCCAAGCGGUCAGGGUGGCCAUGUCGAUGCCUCCGUUAUGUUUGAACUUACGUUUGUGCGCUAUCCGGAACUUUCUGGCGUGAACGUUCGCAGAGCCUGUGUCUCCAGCCUUGCCCUCCCGAUCCUGUCGCAGAAUGUCAGGGCCACCGGAGGGGAAAUUACAGCCUGCUCAGGCUGCCACUGAGGCCUUGUCCCCAACUGUUCUCUAUAUACGCGGUGUUGGUGACAGCCCCCAGGGAGGGCUCCUGUUCCAGCUGGGAAUCACGGGCCCCCGGGUCUUGCUGUGGCAUUGAGGUGUGCGCCAGCCCUGCCUGCAGCAGUUUCGCGAUGAGUCAGAAUAAAUUAGCAUGCUAACGAA
Panthera uncia (snow leopard) is the source of this 605-nucleotide long non-coding RNA. RefSeq lists it as uncharacterized. The transcript is spliced from 2 exons. NCBI's taxonomy places the organism in Eukaryota, Metazoa, Chordata, Mammalia, Carnivora, Felidae. The record is from RefSeq and is a predicted model, not a curated record.